UAAUUACAUACUUUCUUUAUUUUGGGGACAAUUAUAUUAAAAUAGAUAUUAUAAUGUUUAGUGAAGUUCAAUAUUGCGAACUGUGCAAUAGCCAUAACAUUACAUAAUAUUGCACUUGCAGUAACGAUAUAUAAAAUAUUAGAUUAUAAAUUUAAAGUUUGAAUAGCUUGCCAAUGGCGUGAUUUGUAACAGUUGCACAGUGUGGGUACGCCUUGCUAGUCUUUCC
Paramuricea clavata is the source of this 226-nucleotide non-coding RNA. Lineage: Eukaryota; Metazoa; Cnidaria; Anthozoa; Malacalcyonacea; Plexauridae. The record is from the annotation of a GenBank genome assembly.